GCUCUCUGCAGCCUCUUUCUAGAUCUAGCUGAGUGUAAAUCACCACAGUUCUUCUUGAGAAGGUGAGUGGAGUCUAUGUCUUCUCUGCUAGCACAGCUGAAUCAACAUUGUAUACAAGGCUGUGUGCAUGAGUCUUCUUUGUGCUUUCCUUCUAGAUGGAGUUUUGAGUGUUUUUCUUCAUAUACUCAAGAGAUAGAAGGCAUAACCCUCAUGUGGAAGGAUCUGUAGACAACAGCUUUGUUGUAUUUUUAAGAAUCACAGAAUCUCAAGGACUGGAAGGGGUCUUGAAAGAUUGUGUAGUCCAACCCCGUGCCAGAGCAGGGCCACCUAGAGUAGGUCACUGAGGAACUGGUCCAUACAAGUUUUAAAUGUUUCCAGAGAAGGAGAGUCAACAACCCAUCUGGGCAGCCUGUUCCAGUGCUCUGUCACCCUCACAGUGAAGCAAUUCUUCCUUGUUCCUUUGGAACUUCUUUUGUUCCAGCUUGUACCCAUCGCCCCGUGCUCAGUGAUUGGACAACACUGAGAAGAGCCUACCUUCAUCCUCCUGACACCUGCCCUUUAUGUAUUUGUAAACAUUAAUGAGGUCACCCCUCAGUCUCCUCCAAGCUCAAGAGCCCCAGGUCCCUCAGCCUUUCAUCACAAGGGAGAUGCUCCACUCCACCACCUUUGUGGUGCUGCGCUGAACUGUCUCCAGUACCUCCCUGUGCUUCUUGAACUGAGUGGCCCAGAACUGGGCAGAGGCAGAGUAGAUGAGCUUUGCUCCAUUUCUGCAGUAUGACUAUUUAUAAAAGGGGGCAGCUGCCACUGAUUGUGCUAUAGAGGUGAAACAAACAAACAAACAAAAAACAGCCCCAAAAUAGAAUUUACUUUCACAGGCCACACAAUUCUGCUUGAUGGGUGCAAAGAACACUACUCUUUAUCAGCAAGAGCCUGCUGGGGAUGAACUACACAGGCACUGAGCUCUGCAUUCCUGGGCUGCAUGUGUCAGAGAUGCUCAAGUCCCUAGCACCUGGGUCCCUGCAGCUGCCAUUGAACAUGAGGAUCGAGAAUAACAACCUUGAGAGGAAUUCAGGCUUCUAAAUCCUGCUUUGAGUGUCCUUGGCUUAAGUAGUUCUGUGGAAAUGUGUUUUUUACUUUCCUUCUGCAUUUUUGCUUCAGCCAACAUUUUUAGGAUGCAGGAGUAGUUAUACAGGUCCUAGACCUGCAAGGGAAACAAUCGGUGAGCAGAAGAUUUAAUAUUUUAAGAGUCACUCGAGAGGGCAUCGGCAGCUGGCACUCGGCCACAAACAGGAAAAGCUGAGCUGGAGUGCCCGGAGGAGGGGAUGAAGCACGUCCAUCUGGGCCGGUGAGAAGCCGGGAGCCGGAGAUUCUGAACAAACAGCAAGUAAGAAACCACAGGGAAACUUCAAGCUGCCAUCAAUUUUCGGUCCCGAAGUGGAGCAGUUGCAGAGAG
Molecule: RNA transcript, 1453 nt
Organism: Colius striatus (speckled mousebird)
Lineage: Eukaryota; Metazoa; Chordata; Aves; Coliiformes; Coliidae
Gene name: relaxin-3-like
Exons: 2
Source: RefSeq, a predicted model, not a curated record